RNAcentral lists this ribosomal RNA (483 nucleotides) under uncultured bacterium. RNAcentral describes it as "partial 16S ribosomal RNA". It matches the Rfam family "Bacterial small subunit ribosomal RNA", at positions 29 to 506 of the family's 1533-position model. The record is from RNAcentral.
AUUGAACGCUGGCGGCAUGCUUUACACAUGCGAGUCGAACGGCAGCGCGGGCUUCGGCCUGGCGGCGAGUGGCGAACGGGUGAGUAAUACAUCGGAAAGUGCCCAGUAGUGGGGGAUAGCUCGGCGAAAGCCGGAUUAAUACCGCAUACGACCUGAGGGUGAAAGCGGGGGAUCUUCGGACCUCGCGCUAUUGGAGCGGCCGAUGGCAGAUUAGCUAGUUGGUGGGGUAAAGGCCUACCAAGGCGACGAUCUGUAGCUGGUCUGAGAGGACGACCAGCCACACUGGGACUGAGACACGGCCCAGACUCCUACGGGAGGCAGCAGUGGGGAAUUUUGGACAAUGGGCGAAAGCCUGAUCCAGCAAUGCCGCGUGUGUGAUGAAGGCCUUCGGGUUGUAAAGCACUUUUGGCGGGAACGAAAAGGACUGUGCCAAUACCACGGUUCGAUGACGGUACCCGCAGAAUAAGCACCGGCUAACUACGU